Molecule: long non-coding RNA, 815 nt
Organism: Erinaceus europaeus (western European hedgehog)
Lineage: Eukaryota; Metazoa; Chordata; Mammalia; Eulipotyphla; Erinaceidae
Exons: 4
Source: RefSeq, a predicted model, not a curated record
AUUCAAAGAAGCUCCUCUCACAUUGUAAAGAUCAGUGAUUUCCAGAGCAUGAGGUGGAGACAUGGAUCAACUGGGAUACAGAGUGUUUGUAAGGCAGUGAAACUGUUCUGCACGACGCCACAUGGCGGUCCACAUCGCCCAAACCCUGAAGUGCAGCAACACAGUGACUCAUGGCAAGUCCAGAUUUGGGGCUGUUGUGACGCCGUGUGUCCAUCCAUCCUGACUGAUAUGCCACCCUGAAACAGAGUGGCUGAGAAAGCUGUGGUCCAGAUACACAGUGGAAUACUACUCAGCUAUGAAGAAUAAUGAGUUUGCUUUCUUCACCUCACCUUGGAUAGAGCUUGAAGGAGUCCUGUUAAGUGAGAAGUGAUGCUGACCUGUUCAAGUGGACAGAUUAAAAGCCUCCCAGGAAUAUCAGAUAUGUCAGACUGGUUCCUGUUUCCCAAACAGCAGAGUAAGAAGCAAGCAGACACUUAACUCCAUUCAUUUUGUAAGUAUUUAUUUUAUCCAAUAGAACAAAUAAUCAUAUACACAUAAAUUUGAGAAAUCACAGAUAUGGGGCCAAGUAGCAGUGCACUCAGUAGAGUGCACAAGGACCCUGGGUCCAAGCCCCCUGGGCUGCACCUGCAGGGGAGCGGGGAGCUUCACAAGCAGCAAAGAAGUAUUGCACUGUCUUUCUCUCUCCCUUUCUUCUCCUCCCCUCUUAACUUCUCUAUCCAAAAUAAAUAAAUGAAAGUAUCGUUAAAAAUUGCAGACCCGGGGAGUCGGGUGGUGGCGCAGCGGGUUAAGCGCACGUGGCGCAAAGCACAAAGAAC